GUGUCAGCCGCCGCGGUAAAACGUAGGACGCAAGCGUUAUCCGGAGUUACUGGGCGUAAAGGGCAGGCAGGCGGGCUGAUAAGUUGGGUGUGAAAUCUCCAUGGCUUAACCUGGAGGGUGCAUCUGAGACUGUCAGCCUGGAGGGCAGCAGAGGAGCGUGGAAUUCCGGGUGGAGUGGUGAAAUGCGUAGAGAUCCGGAGGAACACCAGAGGCGAAAGCGGCGCUCUGGGCUGCACCUGACGCUGAACUGCGAAAGCCAGGGGAGCGAACGGGAUUAGAUACCCCCGUAGUCC
This 293-nucleotide ribosomal RNA is filed under the name uncultured bacterium. RNAcentral describes it as "partial 16S ribosomal RNA". It matches the Rfam family "Bacterial small subunit ribosomal RNA", at positions 505 to 796 of the family's 1533-position model. The record is from RNAcentral.